This is a long non-coding RNA of Cygnus olor (mute swan), 708 nucleotides long. RefSeq lists it as uncharacterized. The transcript is spliced from 4 exons. Lineage: Eukaryota; Metazoa; Chordata; Aves; Anseriformes; Anatidae. The record is from RefSeq and is a predicted model, not a curated record.
UUCCUGUGACUUCAGUGGAAUUAUGCCUGAGCUACACUGGAAAUCAGAGUAAAGUGCUGGAGAAGUGCUUUCUCAGGUCAUCAGGCUGAGAAGACCAUAAUGAAGUCUUGCUAAGACAGCAACUGCUAUGAAACUAUUUGAACCUUUCAGCUCCUCUUCCAGUGAAGAUGAUUAACUUUUGCUGACCACCUCAGCUCUAUCAUCAGGACUGCUGCUGACUCAAAAAUUCUGGUCCUUUUACCGAGAUGGACAUUUCAUUUCCUUUGUGAGGAAGCUGGAAGAAGGACAGAGGACAGUUUGCUCCUGAUCCCUCUCCUUGUAGUCAACUCAGAGAUGAAACAAUCUGAACUAGGAGCCACAGAUUCAUUCCCUGCUGCAGCUCACAAAAGCAGUACAUGUACAUUGAAAUAGUGGAGGCAACUGCGUGUCACCAAUGGCUAAGAAACAGCCUGAGGUCCUUGGUUUUCUUCAGGUCCUUGGGAGCUUGUCCACAUUUCCAUGAUCAAAAGUCUGAACCAAAGGUCCCCAGGAGGGUAAGUGGCAAGGAGGACUCCAGAAGUCUCCUUCUGAAGUCUGGGGGGAGGAAUCAAAGAAAUGCUCAUCUUUUCAGUUUGAGGAGCAAUAUGAAUAUUUUGAAUAUACGUUGAAAUAUGAAUGAAUAUACAUUGAAAGAAAUGAUGUUGCAUUUUGUAUCAGUUCUACAUGCUU